UAAUUUUUGUAUUUUUAGUAGAGAUGGGGUUUCACCAUGUUGGCCAGGCUGGUCUUGAACUCUUGACCUCUGGUGAUCCGCCCGUCUUGGCCUCCCAAAGUGCUGGGAUUACAGGCGUGAGCUACCGUGCUCAGCCAAUGUACAGAUUUUUCUAUUUAUCAACUUUUAUUGUUCAAUUUUAGUCAUUCUCUAUUAACUUCCUGCUAUUUAUACCACACAAAUGCCUUUCCCAUGCCUCCAAUAUAGCCAUGUCACUAAUUAUAUAUCCUCUAUUCCUUAUCUUUCUACCUUUAACUAAUAGACUUACUCUCCCUUUUCUCUCUUGUAACUUGUCAUCUGCACUUUUACUUUUAUAUUAACAAGGUUAAUAAUAUUUACACUCUGUUCUAUAACCAUAAUUAAGUCAUCCAUACUUUGCCAGUAGGUCAUUCUAAAAGUUUAAGGGCAAUAAAGUGUUUACAUUAUGAUGAUGAUGUAAAUAUUGUUCCAGAAAGAUCCAAUUAGUAUAUUAGGAUUACAUUGCUUUUCUUAUACAGCUUUUUUUCCUUAGAGUUUCUAAUUGUCUUUCUUUUUUUCCUUGCAUUGUCUGACUUUAUCACCUUCUUAAGUUAUUCCAAAUUCUCAAGGAAAGUAUAAAAUCAUUUGAAUCCCCUUUUUUCCCAGAUACCUUCUUCCUGGAGUCCUCCGUCUUCCUGUUCCAAUUUGGACUGAUUGCUCUGUAGGCCUGCGGUGCAGCUGUCAUCCUGGGACGUCCCUUCAUUAUUCUGGGUUGGACCCAAUCUUUCUUGGACCCCAUAUCUUCCUCUUUCUUAGUUUACUCCCUUGUAGUGGACAUUGUAGUUGUUCUGCAGCAUCCAUUCCACUCCUCUCCCGCUGUGUAACAACUAUGGGAUGUGAGUGGGAUUCACCCCACCACCAGCUCUAGGUGUAGGCCUUUAUUGGUAUAAACUGAUCUGAGUAAUUUCACUCUCCUAGCCACAGUGAUGACUGGUUCAGGGAUGACCCAAUCACAAUGAGGCUUAGGACUUUUAUUCAGCUUUUGAGGGAGGAGAUGACCUAUCUUCCCUUGGAUAAGAACAAAGAAGCAUGUAGCCUGGUUGCUGCUGUUAGCCAUCUUGUGAACAUGUGGAAGGCCUACCUGAGGAUGGAGCUGAAAAAUGGAGGAGGCGGAGCCAAGAGAAUCACAGAAAUGGAACCAUAUUCCGGAUCAUGCCAUGCCUGAAGUCUCCCUGCCCGUGGACUCUUCAGUUAAUCAUGCCGUCUGGAGCUGUGAUAGCCAUCUUGUGACCACGUGGGGAUGAGCACGAGGAAGAAGACAACAUGUGAAGGGAGCAAGUCAGAAAGAGCCCAAUUUCUUGAUGGCAUCAUUGAGCAGCUGAACCCGUGCCACAGUUCCUGUUAACUGAAAAAAUAAAUAAAGCCAUAUGUGU
This 1430-nucleotide long non-coding RNA is filed under the name Macaca fascicularis (crab-eating macaque). Its description in RNAcentral is "lncRNA (ENSMFAG00000052692.1)". The record is from RNAcentral. Lineage: Eukaryota; Metazoa; Chordata; Mammalia; Primates; Cercopithecidae.